UAAGCCACUACCCAAAGACUAUACAUGGACUGACCCUGGGCUCCAACCUCAUAGAUAGCAAUGGAUAGCCUAGUAAGAGCACCAGUGGAAGGGGAUGCUCUUAGUCCUGCUAAGACUGAACACCUAGUGAACGUGAUUGUUUGGGGGACGGUGGUAAUGGGGGAAGGAUGGGGAGGGGAAGCCCAUAUAGAAUGGGAGGGGGAGGGGUUAGGGGGAUGUUGGCCCGGAAACCGGGAAGGGGAAUAACAAUCGAAAUGUAAAUAAGAAAUACUCAAGUUAAUAAGAUUUAAAAAAAAGAAUCCUUUUAACCUCAUACAUGUGAGAUAUAUAGGUUUCACCCCUGAGGAGUUUUAUUAUGCUUUACAACAUGUCUGAUAUUUCUGAAUUCUUAUAAAGAGAUACAUGGGGAACAGGUAUGAUGCUGGGUUUUAAGGAAAUAAAAUACUGUUGAAAAUGAUAUUAAA
RNAcentral lists this long non-coding RNA (464 nucleotides) under Rattus norvegicus (Norway rat). RNAcentral describes it as "long non-coding RNA NONRATT003140". The record is from RNAcentral. Lineage: Eukaryota; Metazoa; Chordata; Mammalia; Rodentia; Muridae.